UACGUAGGGGGCAAGCGUUGUCCGGAUUUAUUGGGCGUAAAGAGCGUGUAGGCGGCUUUACAGGUCCGUUGUGAAAACUCGAGGCUCAACCUCGAGACGCCGGUGGAAACCGUAAAGCUAGAGUCCGGAAGAGGGGAGUGGAAUUCCUGGUGUAGCGGUGAAAUGCGCAGAUAUCAGGAAGAACACCCGUGGCGAAGGCGGCUCUCUGGGACGGUACUGACGCUGAGACGCGAAAGCGUGGGGAGCGAACAGG
This 253-nucleotide ribosomal RNA is filed under the name uncultured bacterium. RNAcentral's name for it is "partial 16S ribosomal RNA". It matches the Rfam family "Bacterial small subunit ribosomal RNA", at positions 524 to 776 of the family's 1533-position model. The record is from RNAcentral.